Talpa occidentalis (Iberian mole) is the source of this 107-nucleotide small nuclear RNA. NCBI's taxonomy places the organism in Eukaryota, Metazoa, Chordata, Mammalia, Eulipotyphla, Talpidae. The record is from RefSeq and is a predicted model, not a curated record.
GUGUUUGCUUCAGCAGCACAUGUGCUAAAAUUGUAACAAUACAGAGAAGAUUAGCAUGGCCCCUGUGCAAGGAUGACAUGCAAAUUCCUGAAGCAUUCCAUGUAUUU